This 75-nucleotide transfer RNA is filed under the name Clostridia bacterium. Its description in RNAcentral is "tRNA-Cys". It matches the Rfam family "tRNA". Rfam says of the family: Transfer RNA (tRNA) molecules are approximately 80 nucleotides in length. Their secondary structure includes four short double-helical elements and three loops (D, anti-codon, and T loops). Further hydrogen bonds mediate the characteristic L-shaped molecular structure. tRNAs have two regions of fundamental functional importance: the anti-codon, which is responsible for specific mRNA codon recognition, and the 3' end, to which the tRNAs corresponding amino acid is attached (by aminoacyl-tRNA synthetases). tRNAs cope with the degeneracy of the genetic code in two manners: having more than one tRNA (with a specific anti-codon) for a particular amino acid; and 'wobble' base-pairing, i.e. permitting non-standard base-pairing at the 3rd anti-codon position. Lineage: Bacteria; Bacillati; Bacillota; Clostridia. The record is from RNAcentral.
GGCGCUAUAGCCAAGUUGGUAAGGCACGAGUCUGCAAAACUCUGAUCAUCGGUUCGAGUCCGAUUGGCGCCUCCA